This 80-nucleotide transfer RNA is filed under the name Lachnospiraceae bacterium OF09-33XD. It matches the Rfam family "tRNA". Rfam says of the family: Transfer RNA (tRNA) molecules are approximately 80 nucleotides in length. Lineage: Bacteria; Bacillati; Bacillota; Clostridia; Lachnospirales; Lachnospiraceae. The record is from Rfam by way of RNAcentral. RNAcentral also lists the same sequence under 2 other names.
GCGGCUAUGGCGGAAUUGGCAGACGCGGCGGGUUUAGGUCCCGUUGGGAAACCAUGCAGGUUCAAGUCCUGUUAGCCGCA